AUGCCAGCAGCCGCGGUAAUACGUAGGGUGCGAGCGUUAAUCGGAAUUACUGGGCGUAAAGCGUGCGCAGGCUGUUUUGUAAGUCAGAUGUGAAAUCCCCGAGCUCAACUUGGGAACUGCGUUUGAAACUACAAGACUAGAAUAUGUCAGAGGGGGGUAGAAUUCCACGUGUAGCAGUGAAAUGCGUAGAGAUGUGGAGGAAUAUCAAUGGCGAAGGCAGCCCCCUGGGAUAAUAUUGACGCUCAUGCACGAAAGCGUGGGGAGCAAACAGGAUUAGAUACCCUGGUAGUCCACGCCCUAAACGAUGGAUACUAGAUGUUGUCUGUAUCGACCCAGACAGUGUCGCAGCUAACGCGUUAAGUAUCCCGCCUGGGGAGUACGCACGCAAGUGUGAAACUCAAAUGAAUUGACGG
Molecule: ribosomal RNA, 413 nt
Filed under: uncultured bacterium
Lineage: Bacteria
Description: bacterial SSU rRNA
Rfam family: Bacterial small subunit ribosomal RNA
Source: RNAcentral